UUAUUACAUGGUUGGCAUUCCAGUGGGCGCAGUUCUUGGCUUUGUAUUCCACUUUGGAGCAAAGGUACAUCACUCUGAAUUUUGCAUUUAUUGUGAUAGGGAACACAUUCCUAUCUUUGAGAACGAUUAUUAGUAAUUUCUUAGGAGGAGCGGUGGAGAUCAGUGUGCGGAUAAUAGUGAUGAGUACUAAUAUUAAAUGAGUGGUUUAAAAUGUUCACCUUUUUUUACCUUUGUUUGAGUCCCAUUCUUUGUAAAAAAAAAAAUGUAUUUUUUAAUAGUAUUUUGACAUUAUUUCAAUUACACAUUCUUUGAUAAAAUAAUAUUACAAGCAAAUUUAAUUUUUAUUUUUUAUUUUUUAAUAACACAUUUUCCAUCAAUAUUCUGUUCAAAAAUUUAAUUUUCCCCCACAAUGGGGCUUAAACAAGGGCUAAAAUUUGUUUGUUUGAUAAGGAUUUUGAUAAUUGAUUUUUUGACCGUUAGAGAUAAAGUGGGUCCUAUCUGUGAGAGAAUAAUUCAAAAAUGAUGGUUGGAAUAGUGAAAUAACGGACAAAAAAUUGAUAUUAAUUGACUUAAUAGUUAUACCAAACAAGCUAAUGUUUUCGACCGAGGUUUUUAAAAAUUUCUUUAAAAUUAGGUAUCAUAAAUAAUUUGUUGAUUUACUAGGAUUUCACUAAUAAAGGAUUUCAACCUUAAAAAUACAUUUAAGUUUUGAAAUUUCACAAUUUUUAAUGGGAUUAUGUGUGAACCUACUCAAAUUCAAGAAAUUCGUUAGAAUUUAUACUUUUUUAAAAUCCAUUAAAAUCUGAGUUGAUGACGACCCUUAAAUGCAUGUGACAUAAUGGGAAACAAAUACCUCUGCCUUGACUCUUUAACAAAAUUUUCAGAACAUUUUUAAUUUUAUUUUUAAAAUCUUGUUUUAAUUGUGAGUUGCAGGGAAUAUGGUUAGGCAUGCUGGGAGGCACUGUCCUGCAGACCAUAAUCUUAUUAUGGGUCACGAUUCGGACUGACUGGAAAAAGGAGGUACCUAUUUCACAUUGUUUUAUAUUUUAUAUUAACCAUUAAGAUUUUAGUACCUUAGAGUGUAAUUAUAUUUGAAUUUUCACUAUAAAUAUUUACAUUUAGUUAAAAUAAGAUAAGAAAUUUGUGGAGAGCAAAGAGAACCAAUCCGAGUCUUCUUGCCAAUUCUCAAUUUAAUCGAACACUUCGUGUAACUUUCAGGUGCAGAACGCGCAGCGUCGGUUACAAAAAUGGGAAGACUCGAAGGAACAAAGUCGCCUGAAUAAUUAGUUAGCUAUCACAUUUUGCCUCCAAUAACUAUUGCCAUUAUGUAUUUUGUUUCUCUCAUUUAUAAGGCGAUAAAAACCAUGUCUAUUUAAAUUAUUUGAUAUACUUCCUUACUUAAAAGGAAGCUUUAGUUUAUUUUGGAUUUGAUUUCUACUUAGUCUUCUAAGGCUUUGUUGCUUGUUAAUUACUUAUUUUAGUUAACAAGUAGACAAUAUCAAAAUCGAAUAGAAAUAAUUGGAUGUGUUUCUUCAUCAAAGCUAUAAUAAGUAGAUUAUGUCUUCGUGGAAUCGAUAUCCUUUUAUUACUUGUAUGUAUAUGAUAUCGUCUAGCUGCGGGAUUACUAUGCAAUAGUAUACUUCAAAUUGUUGUAAUGAACGUCUAAGGGAGGAAAUGUUUUACAUGGAAUAUGAAUUCUAGUUAUCUCAAAUUCAAUUUCUUUUAUUGAAAUCAUGUCAAGAUACAAAAUUUUCUAUGUUUAUUUUUUC
RNAcentral lists this long non-coding RNA (1769 nucleotides) under Olea europaea subsp. europaea. Lineage: Eukaryota; Viridiplantae; Streptophyta; Magnoliopsida; Lamiales; Oleaceae. The record is from RNAcentral.